RNAcentral lists this ribosomal RNA (849 nucleotides) under Campylobacter coli. RNAcentral's name for it is "bacterial SSU rRNA". It matches the Rfam family "Bacterial small subunit ribosomal RNA", at positions 549 to 1395 of the family's 1533-position model. Lineage: Bacteria; Pseudomonadati; Campylobacterota; Epsilonproteobacteria; Campylobacterales; Campylobacteraceae. The record is from RNAcentral.
AAUCACUGGGCGUAAAGGGCGCGUAGGCGGAUUAUCAAGUCUCUUGUGAAAUCUAAUGGCUUAACCAUUAAACUGCUUGGGAAACUGAUAGUCUAGAGUGAGGGAGAGGCAGAUGGAAUUGGUGGUGUAGGGGUAAAAUCCGUAGAUAUCACCAAGAAUACCCAUUGCGAAGGCGAUCUGCUGGAACUCAACUGACGCUAAGGCGCGAAAGCGUGGGGAGCAAACAGGAUUAGAUACCCUGGUAGUCCACGCCCUAAACGAUGUACACUAGUUGUUGGGGUGCUAGUCAUCUCAGUAAUGCAGCUAACGCAUUAAGUGUACCGCCUGGGGAGUACGGUCGCAAGAUUAAAACUCAAAGGAAUAGACGGGGACCCGCACAAGCGGUGGAGCAUGUGGUUUAAUUCGAAGAUACGCGAAGAACCUUACCUGGGCUUGAUAUCCUAAGAACCUUUUAGAGAUAAGAGGGUGCUAGCUUGCUAGAACUUAGAGACAGGUGCUGCACGGCUGUCGUCAGCUCGUGUCGUGAGAUGUUGGGUUAAGUCCCGCAACGAGCGCAACCCACGUAUUUAGUUGCUAACGGUUCGGCCGAGCACUCUAAAUAGACUGCCUUCGUAAGGAGGAGGAAGGUGUGGACGACGUCAAGUCAUCAUGGCCCUUAUGCCCAGGGCGACACACGUGCUACAAUGGCAUAUACAAUGAGACGCAAUACCGCGAGGUGGAGCAAAUCUAUAAAAUAUGUCCCAGUUCGGAUUGUUCUCUGCAACUCGAGAGCAUGAAGCCGGAAUCGCUAGUAAUCGUAGAUCAGCCAUGCUACGGUGAAUACGUUCCCGGGUCUUGUACUCACCGCCC